This is a small nuclear RNA of Octodon degus (degu), 109 nucleotides long. Lineage: Eukaryota; Metazoa; Chordata; Mammalia; Rodentia; Octodontidae. The record is from Ensembl.
UGUCCAAAGAAGAAAAGGAUAUAUUCCUAAAAUUGGAACGACACAGAGAAGAUUAGCAUGGCCCCUGUGCAAGGAUGACACGCACAUUUGUUGCGCAUUCCAUAUUUUU